AUUGAACGCUGGCGGCAUGCUUUACACAUGCAAGUCGAACGGUAACAGGGAGCUUGCUCCGCUGACGAGUGGCGAACGGGUGAGUAAUAUAUCGGAACGUACCCAAGAGUGGGGGAUAACGUAGCGAAAGUUACGCUAAUACCGCAUACGAUCUAUGGAUGAAAGUGGGGGAUCGCAAGACCUCAUGCUCCUGGAGCGGCCGAUAUCUGAUUAGCUAGUUGGUAGGGUAAAGGCCUACCAAGGCGACGAUCAGUAGCUGGUCUGAGAGGACGACCAGCCACACUGGAACUGAGACACGGUCCAGACUCCUACGGGAGGCAGCAGUGGGGAAUUUUGGACAAUGGGCGCAAGCCUGAUCCAGCAAUGCCGCGUGAGUGAAGAAGGCCUUCGGGUUGUAAAGCUCUUUUGUCAGGGAAGAAACGGUAGAGGCUAAUAUCCUUUGCUAAUGACGGUACCUGAAGAAUAAGCACCGGCUAACUACGUGCCAGCAGCCGCGGUAAUACGUAGGGUGCAAGCGUUAAUCGGAAUUACUGGGCGUAAAGCGUGCGCAGGCGGUUUUGUAAGUCUGUCGCGAAAUCCCCGGGCUCAACCUGGGAAUUGCGAUGGAGACUGCAAGGCUAGAAUCUGGCAGAGGGGGGUAGAAUUCCACGUGUAGCAGUGAAAUGCGUAGAGAUGUGGAGGAACACCGAUGGCGAAGGCAGCCCCCUGGGUCAAGAUUGACGCUCAUGCACGAAAGCGUGGGGAGCAAACAGG
RNAcentral lists this ribosomal RNA (753 nucleotides) under uncultured Oxalobacteraceae bacterium. RNAcentral describes it as "bacterial SSU rRNA". It matches the Rfam family "Bacterial small subunit ribosomal RNA", at positions 28 to 776 of the family's 1533-position model. Lineage: Bacteria; Pseudomonadati; Pseudomonadota; Betaproteobacteria; Burkholderiales; Oxalobacteraceae. The record is from RNAcentral.